GCCGUCGUGGCGCAGUUCGGUUACCGCGUGCGCUUGGAAAGCGCAUUUCCUUCGGGAUUCCCCGGUUCGAAUCCGGGCGACGGCG
RNAcentral lists this transfer RNA (85 nucleotides) under Candidatus Woesearchaeota archaeon. RNAcentral describes it as "tRNA-Ser". It matches the Rfam family "tRNA". Rfam says of the family: Transfer RNA (tRNA) molecules are approximately 80 nucleotides in length. Their secondary structure includes four short double-helical elements and three loops (D, anti-codon, and T loops). Further hydrogen bonds mediate the characteristic L-shaped molecular structure. tRNAs have two regions of fundamental functional importance: the anti-codon, which is responsible for specific mRNA codon recognition, and the 3' end, to which the tRNAs corresponding amino acid is attached (by aminoacyl-tRNA synthetases). tRNAs cope with the degeneracy of the genetic code in two manners: having more than one tRNA (with a specific anti-codon) for a particular amino acid; and 'wobble' base-pairing, i.e. permitting non-standard base-pairing at the 3rd anti-codon position. The record is from RNAcentral. Lineage: Archaea; Nanobdellati; Candidatus Woesearchaeota.